AAAACUUUCAACAACGGAUCUCUUGGUUCUGGCAUCGAUGAAGAACGCAGCGAAAUGCGAUAAGUAAUGUGAAUUGCAGAAUUCAGUGAAUCAUCGAAUCUUUGAACGCACAUUGCGCCCGCCAGUAUUCUGGCGGGCAUGCCUGUUCGAGCGUCAUUUCAACCCUCGGGCCCCCCCUUCGGGGACGGGCGCGGUGUUGGGGGUCCGGCCUUGGCCGCCCCCGAAAUGCAGUGGCGACCCCGCCGCGGCCUCUCCUGCGCAGUAAGCAAACGCUCGCAACGAGGGACCCGGAGGACGAGUCCGCCGUAAAACGCCCACUUCCUAGAAGUUGACCUCGGAUCAGGUAGGGAUACCCGCUGAACUUAAGCAUAUCAAUAAGCGGAGGAAAAGAAACCAACAGGGAUUGCCCCAGUAACGGCGAGUGAAGCGGCAACAGCUCAAAUUUGAAAUCUGGUCCCCCCGCGGGGCCCGAGUUGUAAUUUGCAGAGGAUGCUUUUGGCGAGGCGCCUUCCGAGUUCCCUGGAACGGGACGCCAUAGAGGGUGAGAGCCCCGUCUGGUCGGACGCCUAGCCUCUGUAAAGCUCCUUCGACGAGUCGAGUAGUUUGGGAAUGCUGCUCAAAAUGGGAGGUAUAUGUCUUCUAAAGCUAAAUACCGGCCAGAGACCGAUAGCGCACAAGUAGAGUGAUCGAAAGAUGAAAAGCACUUUGAAAAGAGGGUUAAACAGUACGUGAAAUUGUUGAAAGGGAAGCGCUUGUGACCAGACUUGAGCGCGGCGGAUCAUCCGGCGUUCUCGCCGGUGCACUCCGCCGUGCCCAGGCCAGCAUCGGUUCGCGGCGGGGGAUAAAGGCGUCGGGAACGUGGCUCCUCUCGGGGAGUGUUAUAGCCCGUCGCGCAAUGCCCCGCCUGCGGACCGAGGUACGCGCUCCGCAAGGAUGCUGGCGUAAUGGUCACCAGCGACCCGUCUUGAAACACGGACCAAGGAGUCGUCUUCGUAUGCGAGUGUUCGGGUGUCAAACCCCUACGCGUAAUGAAAGUGAACGCAGGUGAGAGCUUCGGCGCAUCAUCGACCGAUCCUGAUGUUCUCGGAUGGAUUUGAGUAAGAGCAUACGGGGCCGGACCCGAAAGAAGGUGAACUAUGCCUGUAUAGGGUGAAGCCAGAGGAAACUCUGGUGGAGGCUCGCAGCGGUUCUGACGUGCAAAUCGAUCGUCAAAUAUGGGCAUGGGGGCGAAAGACUAAUCGAACCUUCUAGUAGCUGGUUUCCGCCGAAGUUUCCCUCAGGAUAGCAGUGUUGAACUCAGUUUUAUGAGGUAAAGCGAAUGAUUAGGGACCCGGGGGCGCUCUUUAGCCUUCAUCCAUUCUCAAACUUUAAAUAUGUAAGAAGCCCUUGUUACUUAAUUGAACGUGGGCAUUCGAAUGUAUCAACACUAGUGGGCCAUUUUUGGUAAGCAGAACUGGCGAUGCGGGAUGAACCGAACGCGAGGUUAAGGUGCCGGAGUGGACGCUCAUCAGACACCACAAAAGGCGUUAGUACAUCUUGACAGCAGGACGGUGGCCAUGGAAGUCGGAAUCCGCUAAGGACUGUGUAACAACUCACCUGCCGAAUGUACUAGCCCUGAAAAUGGAUGGCGCUCAAGCGUCCCACCCAUACCUCGCCCUCGGGGUAGAAACGAAGCCCCGAGGAGUAGGCGGACGUGGAGGUCAGUGACGAAGCCUAGGGCGUGAGCCCGGGUCGAACGGCCUCUAGUGCAGAUCUUGGUGGUAGUAGCAAAUACUUCAAUGAGAACUUGAAGGACCGAAGUGGGGAAAGGUUCCAUGUGAACAGCGGUUGGACAUGGGUUAGUCGAUCCUAAGCCAUAGGGAAGUUCCGUUUCAAAGGCGCACUUUUGCGCCGUCUGGCGAAAGGGGAGCCGGUCAAUAUUCCGGCACCUGGAUGUGGGUUUUGCGCGGCAACGCAACCGAACGCGGAGACGACGGCGGGGGCCCCGAGCAGAGUUCUCUUUUCUUCUUAACGGUCUCUCACCCUGAAAUCGGUUUGUCCGGAGCUAGGGUUUAAUGGCCGGAAGAGCCCAGCACCUCUGCUGGGUUCGGUGCGCUCCCGACGUCCCUUGAAAAUCCGCGGGAGGGAAUAAUUCUCACGCCAGGUCGUACUCAUAACCGCAGCAGGUCUCCAAGGUGAACAGCCUCUGGUUGAUAGAACAAUGUAGAUAAGGGAAGUCGGCAAAAUAGAUCCGUAACUUCGGGAUAAGGAUUGGCUCUAAGGGUUGGGCACGUUGGGCCUUGGGCGGACGCCUUGGGAGCAGGCAGCCACUAGCCGGGCAACCGGCCGGCGGCGGCCAGCAUCCGAGCGCCGAUGCCCUUGGCAGGCUUCGGCCGUCCGGCGUGCGGUUAACAACCAACUUAGAACUGGUACGGACAGGGGGAAUCUGACUGUCUAAUUAAAACAUAGCAUUGCGAUGGCCAGAAAGUGGUGUUGACGCAAUGUGAUUUCUGCCCAGUGCUCUGAAUGUCAAAGUGAAGUAAUUCAACCAAGCGCGGGUAAACGGCGGGAGUAACUAUGACUCAAAAGGAAUCGUUGGCAUAUUAUACAGUACCCAGCGUACACUUGCAACAUCCUCACAGAAGACCCUCUGCCACCGCCUCCUCCAGCUCCCUGGCGCCAUCAAAAGACUCCGAAGCGCGGCUCAUCCACUCCAGGAGGGACUGCGACUGUCUGGCGCCACGCUGUGUGGUGACGGUAUCCCUGGACGCUGCCGACCGAUCUGUGGCGGCGCUGUUGGUCCUCGAACCCCACUGGCUAUCGCUCUCCCUGAUGGCGAGACAGCAGAAGACGUCGGCUCUUGCCGCUCGUAUGCAGCGCGGCUGGUGGGUGCAGAGGUCGACGACAAGGUGUCCAUGGAUAGAGCAGAAUAUGGGACCUGCGCAGCCCUUGCGACUGUUGUUGACUUGGGGACUCUCCGCACGGAGGUGAUCCGGGUUGAAGCAGUUUCGUCGGUCACAGAGGUGACUGACUUGGCAGUCCUGCGGCGGGUUUUGGCCUCGAGACCCCACGUAGGCGACAAUAUGUAUAAGGAAGGCCGAGAGCACCCCGCGCCCUGCUUGACCCAGGGCCGAGUUGCGCUUAGCCCAGAGCUAUACAGACGUUAGCGGCGUGGACGAAGAGGUCAUCCGGGGGAGGGG
This 3179-nucleotide ribosomal RNA is filed under the name Hirsutella thompsonii MTCC3556. RNAcentral's name for it is "eukaryotic LSU rRNA". The stretch from base 330 to 2669 matches the Rfam family "Eukaryotic large subunit ribosomal RNA". Lineage: Eukaryota; Fungi; Ascomycota; Sordariomycetes; Hypocreales; Ophiocordycipitaceae. The record is from RNAcentral.